CAUUAUUUACUUACUGUAACAUCUAUUCCCUUACUAGUUAUUUCAAUUCUUUAUUAUGCAGCCACACUAAACAGAGUAUUCUUUUGAGGCACAGGUUAUCAACGCAUUUGCAGAAGGAACUCUUGAUUUAGUUUGGUUUUGUUCAAUGUACAUGUAUCUGCAAUACAAAAUUUUUAUUGUUAUCCCCCACCAUAGGCGGAGGGAUAUUGUUUUGGCGUUGUCCGUCCGUCCUUCUUUCCGUCCUUCCGUCCGUCUGGCAGGCACUUUUGUGUCCGGAGCCAUAUCUUGGAAGUGCUUUGGCGAAUCUCAUUGAAACUUGGUAUGAGUAUAUAUAUGGAUAAGAGGAUGAUGCAUGUGAAAUGGCAUUGUACACCAUCUGAUAAUAACGGAUUUAUGGCCCUUUGGAUCUUGAAAAAACGCUUUUUUGUGUGUCCGGAGCCAUAUCUUGGAAGUGCUUUGACAGAUUUCUUUGAAACUUGCUAUGAGUAUAUAUAUGGAUAAGAGGUUGAUGCACAUUGGCGUUGUCCAUCGGUCCAGUAUUUUGGCGGGGGAUAUCAAUUCAACAAAUUUGCUUGUUUUUAACCAGGUUUUCCGAAGGAAAAAACUGGUUAUUAGAUUGGCGAAUGCGGGCGGGCUGGCUGGCUGGCGGGCUGGCUGGCUGGCGGGCUGGCGGAAUAAGCUUGUCCGGGCCAUAACUAUGUCGUUCAUUGUCAGAUUUUAAAAUCAUUUGGCACAUUUGUUCACCAUCAUUGGACGGUGUGUCGCGCGAAAUAAUUACGUCGAUAUCUCCAAGGUCAAGGUCACACUUUGAGUUCAAAGGUCAAAAAUGGCCAUAAAUGAGCUUGUCCUGGCCAUAACUAUGUCAUUCAUUGUGAGAUUUUAAAAUCAUUUGGCACAUUUGUUCACCAUCAUGGGACGGUGUGUCCCACGAAAGAAUCACGUCAAUAUCUCCAAUGUCAAGGUCGCCACGACUAAAAAUAGAUUUAAAAAAAAAAAAAAAAUUACAAAGGGGGUUAAUUUUUUUUGGUCAUUUCAAAAGUUCA
Molecule: long non-coding RNA, 1043 nt
Organism: Dreissena polymorpha
Lineage: Eukaryota; Metazoa; Mollusca; Bivalvia; Myida; Dreissenidae
Exons: 2
Source: RefSeq, a predicted model, not a curated record